This 469-nucleotide ribosomal RNA is filed under the name uncultured bacterium. RNAcentral describes it as "partial 16S ribosomal RNA". It matches the Rfam family "Bacterial small subunit ribosomal RNA", at positions 28 to 507 of the family's 1533-position model. The record is from RNAcentral.
GACGAACGCUGGCGGCGUGCUUAACACAUGCAAGUCGAACGGAAAGGCCCUGCUUGCAGGGUGCUCGAGUGGCGAACGGGUGAGUAACACGUGGGUGAUCUGCCCCUUACUUUGGGAUAAGCCUGGGAAAUUGGGUCUAAUACUGGAUAGGACCAUGCUGUAGGUGGUGUGGUGGAAAGAUUAGUUUCGGUAAGGGAUGAGCUCGCGGCCUAUCAGCUUGUUGGUGGGGUAAUGGCCUACCAAGGCGUCGACGGGUAGCCGGCCUGAGAGGGUGGACGGCCACAUUGGGACUGAGAUACGGCCCAGACUCCUACGGGAGGCAGCAGUGGGGAAUAUUGCACAAUGGGCGCAAGCCGGAUGCAGCGACGCCGCGUGGGGGAUGACGGCCUUCGGGUUGUAAACUCCUUUCAGCCAUGACGAAGCCCUUGUGGUGACGGUAGUGGUAGAAGAAGCACCGGCUAACUACGUG